Triticum aestivum (bread wheat) is the source of this 1566-nucleotide long non-coding RNA. RefSeq lists it as uncharacterized. The transcript is spliced from 3 exons. The record is from RefSeq and is a predicted model, not a curated record. Lineage: Eukaryota; Viridiplantae; Streptophyta; Magnoliopsida; Poales; Poaceae.
UCCCCCCAGAUCUCCUUAUCCUUUCCUUCUGCGCCGCCCAAUCCCUCUGCUUUUGAGGCCUCCGACCACCAUCCCUCCAUGGCUCCCCACCUUCCAAGGUCACACGAGCGCCUCAACCUGCACUCUAUGAUGUGGAUCUGUACCCGCCGGCCACCACCAUCCAUGGCUCCUCCGCUAUUGGGACACGGCGUCGUCCCAUCUCCGUUCUGGAUAUCACCAUGCGACACCAACGCUUGUCCUGCUCCUCCACCAUGGCCCUGCUCAGACCACGCCGCCAUCGAUGCCACCGUCGAGAAUCCACCCCAACUCGAGCAGUUCACCGGCGUUAUGGAGGAAGCGCUAAGCAGCUGCAUUGCAAAUAUGAGGAACAUCAUCCGUGCAAGAAGUUCAGAUUCACUCGACGGCAAGAAAUAGUGUCAUAUUUUUCAUAUUUAAGCUCAUCAUCCGUGCAAGAAGUUCAGAUUCACUCGACGGCAAAUAUGAGGAACAUCAUCUAGUGUAUUCCUCAUAUUUAAGCUCACCGUGUUCUUCCUUCUCCCUUAAGUUGUAUUUGGUUUUUCUUUCUUAUAUUAAAGACUGAACAAUUGCAGUGUAAGCACACAAUUGGAUGUUCCUGCUGGAGAAGGUGCGCAAUCUUGCUGAGUGUAAUUUUACAUUGCUGGAACUAGAUGAUUGUAGCUCUUAGUUGUACAAGGUGGAUGCAAGUGUCUGGGUGCGAUGACCCAUAGAUAUUGCAUUGCCUUGAAAAUUAUCAGUACAUUGCAUAGAUGAAUGGAUGUCACUCCUUACAUUAUUGUUCUGAACUUCUGUACUAACUUACUGACGCAUCAAGUAACAACUAUCCUCUGUUUGUGGUCACCCCUUUGCCUAGUAACUUAUUUCCUUAUGAUUUUUUGAUUGUCUUACUAUCAAGUACAAUAACAGUUUGCUCCCUAACUUGUUUGUCCAUACCUUAUCAUUUUAGUCUCUUUCAUUAUGUUAGGUUUUUGGGAAGAAUUAAACGAACAUCAUCAGUGCUUCAUAGAGGCUGAAGCAGGUGGUUGAGGUAUCACUCAAUUUCAAGAAAUUGAAUAAGAUUCUUCCAAGUGAAAUGGCACUAUUCCCUUUCAUAUUUUGUUCUAUGCACAUGAACCUAGAAAUUAAAUAUUGAUCAACACCUGAUGGAGGACUUGUUUUUCUAGUUCGCAAUUCAUUCUUAUUAGGAACAAAAUUCAAGAUCACGUAUCUGUGAGAUAUGCAAGCGCCUCUAAUCAAGGGUAACCUUGAAGGGAAGUUUGCAACUUAAGCUGCAACCAAAGAUUAUAGAAAAUGAGAUCUCUUGUUGUGUAUAUUUAGUUGAUGCACUUGUGUGUUUUUAGAUGUUGCACCUCUGUUUCCAUUGACCUUCGAUUCAUGUACGUAAAUUCUAUGGAACUGUAUCCGAAGACAUGUGAAUUUGUAUCUCUGGUUGAUGGAAACAAUUGAUAGUGAUGUUUCUAUGUUAUAAAUAUUCUGAGUUAUGGAAUAGUUAUGUAUAAAACCAUUGAUAUUUUUUUUGGUUUCUUCUUUUUCUGACGGUUAUGUAUG